UCGUAGGGCUUCGGCCCUGUCGAGAUAGAACCCUUGUCUUUUUGAGUACCUUUCGUUUCCUCGGCAGCCUCGGCUGCCAAUGGGGACCCCAAAAAACACUUUGCAGUACCUGUAACAGUCUGAACAAACAAACAAAAAUUA
Molecule: unclassified non-coding RNA, 141 nt
Filed under: uncultured Preussia
Lineage: Eukaryota; Fungi; Ascomycota; Dothideomycetes; Pleosporales; Sporormiaceae
Description: sequence contains ITS1
Source: RNAcentral